UACGUAGGGUGCAAGCGUUGUCCGGAAUUAUCGGGCGUAAAGAGCUCGUAGGCGGUUCGUCGCGUCGGCUGUGAAAACCCGGAGCUCAACUCCGGGCCUGCAGUCGAUACGGGCGGACUAGAGUUCGGCAGGGGAGACUGGAAUUCCUGGUGUAGCGGUGAAAUGCGCAGAUAUCAGGAGGAACACCGGUGGCGAAGGCGGGUCUCUGGGCCGAUACUGACGCUGAGGAGCGAAAGCGUGGGGAGCGAACAGG
RNAcentral lists this ribosomal RNA (253 nucleotides) under uncultured bacterium. RNAcentral describes it as "partial 16S ribosomal RNA". It matches the Rfam family "Bacterial small subunit ribosomal RNA", at positions 524 to 776 of the family's 1533-position model. The record is from RNAcentral.